RNAcentral lists this long non-coding RNA (541 nucleotides) under Capra hircus (goat). Its description in RNAcentral is "lncRNA (ENSCHIG00000008122.1)". Lineage: Eukaryota; Metazoa; Chordata; Mammalia; Artiodactyla; Bovidae. The record is from RNAcentral.
GUUAGAGGGGUGAGUUCUUUUGGUGUUUAGACAAGAAAGCAUGGAAUUACCUUUAUCUCUCUCUGCAGCUGAUGCAUGGAGACGAUCCAAGAAGAAAACAACCGUAUCAGGGCCAGUGUUGUGUUUUGGGACAUGGUGGAGAAGUAGAAGCCCCUGGGGAGUUACAUGGAGUGAGAUUAUGAAUGGCCUCAUACACCAGACCGAGAAGCUCAGCAUGGGAGAGACAUGGUCAGAAGCGCUCCAUGGAACCACUGCCAAGGCUGCAGCAUGCUCAGUGCAGCCCAGCCAACAUAUGCAGUUCCCUGCACAGUGACAGCAAACAGAGGAGGCACUGGGGAUAAAGGAUGGAGAAGAUCCAGGCCAUUCCUUUGAGAGGAACAACAUUAAGUGCUUCUCAGACAGGUGUGAAGUUGGCCAAAUAGGAAAUGGAGAAGGCAGAUGCAGGUAAGCCUCUUGAUCACACUGAAGAAAUUGGUGAUGCCAAAGCAAAACUGGACUUGAUUGUUGCAGAUUCUGUGGAUGCCAAGUGAGGCAGUUUUUC